Molecule: ribosomal RNA, 686 nt
Filed under: uncultured marine thaumarchaeote
Lineage: Archaea; Thermoproteati; Nitrososphaerota
Description: bacterial SSU rRNA
Rfam family: Archaeal small subunit ribosomal RNA
Source: RNAcentral
GAUUUCAUCUCCAUAGGAUGGGACUCCGGCCUAUCAGCUUGUUGGUGAGGUAAUGGCCCACCAAGGCGAUUACAGGUACGGGCUUUGAGAGGAGAAGCCCGGAGAUGGGUAUUGAGACAAGGACCCAGGCCUUAUGGGGCGCAGCAGGCGAGGAAACUUUGCAAUGUGCGAAAGCACGACAAGGUUAAUCCGAGUGAUUUCUGCUAAAGAAAUCUUUUGCAAGUCAUAAAACCACUAGUGAAUGAGGGGUGGGCAAGUUCUGGUGUCAGCCGCCGCGGUAAAACCAGCACCUCAAGUGGUCAGGAGGAUUAUUGGGCCUAAAGCAUCCGUAGCCGGCUCUGUAAGUUUUCGGUUAAAUCCAUGUGCUCAACGCAUGGGCUGCCGAAAAUACUGCAUAGCUAGGGAGUGGGAGAGGUAGACGGUACUCGGUAGGAAGGGGUAAAAUCCUUUGAUCUAUCGAUGACCACCUGUGGCGAAGGCGGUCUACCAGAACACGUUCGACGGUGAGGGAUGAAAGCUGGGGGAGCAAACCGGAUUAGAUACCCGGGUAGUCCCAGCUGUAAACGAUGCAGACUCGAUGAUGCAUUGGCAUAUAGCCAGUGCAGUGUCGCAGGGAAGCCGUUAAGUCUGCCGCCUGGGAAGUACGUACGCAAGUAUGAAACUUAAAGGAGCCGGCGGGGGAGCAG